Molecule: long non-coding RNA, 2940 nt
Filed under: Triticum aestivum (bread wheat)
Lineage: Eukaryota; Viridiplantae; Streptophyta; Magnoliopsida; Poales; Poaceae
Description: long non-coding RNA (TAES_LNC010231)
Source: RNAcentral
CUUCUCUCUUUUCCUGCCCCUCUCAUGUUUUUGUUUCUUAUCCUUUUUCUGCAUGUGUAUGGGUAAACCAAUAUAAUGCAAUUAAGGUAUUGCUUGUUAGGAUGUAUAUCUGCUUAUGCCCCCAUGCCCUAUUCAUAUUCAACAAAUUUAGUAAGUAAUUAGUGUAUUCGUGAUUAGACCAAAGAUAAAGUUUAUAGGAAAAUAGGCGCGAUUGCAUCCUAUAUAUGAACUAAAACGAUGUGUGGAUGUUGUCACUAUUGGCUAGUAUGAUAGAAUAAGCUUAAAAUAUGAAAUAACACAAAGUGUCGACAUUUGGUAUUAUCCAGCUAUUUCCAUCAAAUGUUGAUGCAUGUUUCCAAUACUUCUAGGAGUAGUAGAUCAUAUCCAUUCUGCCAUAUAAUGCUAGCAUAGAAAAGUCAGUUUUUAUUUUGAAGACAGUUUUGUAGUGUACUAUUUUCCCAUCUACUUAUGUUUAUCUAAAAGGCUAGUAGCAUUUGGAAGUUUGUUUUUGUUCCUAUCUUUAGAUUAUUUCUGUGUAGAGUAUGUUCUUGACCACAUCAUCCUUGUUGUUAGUUCAUUUGCUAUAGAAAAUAAUAUAAUAGGUAUGAUCAAGUUAGUAGGCUAUUACUGGCAAGUGUUUUCCCAAAGUAUCUCCUUUUUCUUAUGUCCCUCAUGAACUCAUUGAGCUUUAUGUGGAACAUUCGAUCAACAAUAUCAGGUUUCUGUGAUCUUAUUUGGCCUACUUCCAUAAGCAUAAAUUGAAUAUCCAGCCAAGCUGUGUUGCAUGUGAAUGCCACAAAUAGAUCUGUGUAUCAAGCCCAUUGACAUCUUGUUAUAGCAUCUUGGUAGUUUUGUGCUUGUAUCUGAGGUUAUUUGUGAAGCUGGAUGGCAGUAGUAUUCUCCUUCCUACCUCGUCGGCCCUUGUGUCUCCUAUUUAUGUUGCGUCCUGCAAGUCAACAUAUAUUUCUGCUCUUAUGUUUCCUUGAUGUUUUUUGAUCCAGUCUAGUCUGUACUACAAAAUGCAUGCAAGGGCAUCCACGUUGAACUUCCAAAGUUGCUCUUUCUUUGAGGUUCUUCUCGCCUUGAAUGCAUGUCACAAGGCCCUUCUCAAGUUGCUCUUUCUUCAUACCAAAAAAUUGCACCACACCAUUCACACUUGUAUCUUGGACUUCGGAAGUUCCAUAUUUCCAUAUCCGUCCUUGUCGAUGUCCUGUUUAAGUUUCUGAAUUUAGCAUCAAUCUGAAUAUUAGUAUGUUCUUUUUUUCUUACUAAUACAACAAACUUAAUAGAACUGACAUAUCUAGUUUUUCCGCCCUUGAUUUUUCUGUUGUACACUUUGUGUUACUUUUAGUCAUGUACACACACUUAAUAGAAUUACCAGGUUCAUGAAUGUCCAAAUUGUAGAUCUUGGUUGAAUUUUCUUGCUACUUACCUCGUAGUUUUACGAGCCAAUGCUUUCCCGUGGCAAUUGGACAAUGCUGAUUUUGCCUCAGUCAAUGCACAUGAUUAACAUCUGUACAUGAUAUGGUUCCCUGUGGUAAUUCUACAAUGCUGAUUUUGCCUCCGUCUUGAUUUAGCCAUGUUGCAUGGAAAUGUGUUUUCAUGUUUUUUUAAAAGCUGAUAGGUACAAUCAGGAACAAAUGCAACAUGUUUUUGUGAUUUAAUAUAGCACUUGGAAGGAAUGGAACACAUAGAUAUCACAAUUGAUGUGCAAAGAAGAAGCAAGCUAUAAUGUUACCUCCAGUAUACUGUACUACAGUCAUGCAACAUGUAAGGGAAUUUUAGCAAUUAAAUUAAGAACAGUAAGUUAAGAUAGUGGAUGAUAAUACGCAUAAGAAUACCUUUGUGAUGAUUUUCUUAUCGCACGUGGUUCGCAUAUUUGUGCAGUCUGGCACAUCUCCAUGUAUGACCGAACGCUGUCUCCUUUCGUUGUCUUGAAGUUUCAUUCUCCUUUCCUAAUCCUAUCUUGUUAUUAUUGAUUGUCUAGAUUCACAUCAUUAUUAUAAUAUAUAUUUUUCUGUCCAAGCUUAAAUUAAUUAUAAACCCAAAUGAGCCUAACUGGAAUUAUUGCAUUAUAUAAUUUAGGUGUAACAUUUUUUGUGAUAACACUUACUAAAAGUGCAUGAUUAGCAAUGGAUCACCUUGUUGGAUUGUAUAUUUGAUUGCUUUUAACUACCUUGGCAGGUUUCUCACAUUAUUGCAGUGUGGUCCACCUUUCAUUUUCAUCGUUUCUUCCUGCACAAUAUAGAAAACAUGUAUUAGAGAAGAUGAUAUUGUAAAAUUGGUUCGGAGUACUGCUGAAGGUUAUGGAGAUUUAUGAUUUGAUUAAUUAUUUGAUCAGUGAUUGUGGUGAAAGCUUUAAUGUUAAAAUGGAUGUUAUGUUUCAAUCAUCAUGUGAAGACAGUGAGGGUCUUUUACCCUUCUAUUGUAGUUAGAUGAUAGUCUAUACAGAACCAUAUAUGUGUGAAGAAUUAGAUUGUGAUUGAGGAUGGCAAGUUCAUGUACAAUUAAGAUUGAAUAAUCGCAAAGGAACUUGCCUGAUCUAAAUUUCAAAGCUAUUUGAUUAUUUACCUUGAGUUGAAACGUGGUGUGUACCUUUGAUCAUGUUCCUCUGUGAUUUCCAUGGUUAUUGGGAAUAGACAAGAUGGGGAGGACUUGGAAUGAGAGGAGCCAUGGCAAGCUAGCAUUGAAGGAGGAAGGGACUGACGCAGGUGAUCUUCCAACAUAGAUGUGUUUGUAGAUGUGUUUUUUGUUGGAUUGAAAGGAGGGAGGUGAUCCUCGUGUAGAUAAAAGAGCUAUGCUAUGUAUUCUAUUUUUUCUUUUCUUUUGAUACGUACUUCCGUUUUAUCUAUGGUAGCCCAGAGGUGGAAACGUGGGAUCACGUUAUGAAAAUCGGUUGGUCCUAACAAAUUGAUCGUUGGAAAAUAAACUAAUUGAUCG